This 256-nucleotide long non-coding RNA is filed under the name Vitis vinifera (wine grape). Its description in RNAcentral is "long non-coding RNA (VVIN_LNC005349)". The record is from RNAcentral. Lineage: Eukaryota; Viridiplantae; Streptophyta; Magnoliopsida; Vitales; Vitaceae.
CAGCAGGGACUUUGUAUUUAAUUUUUAUUUAGUUCUUCUUUUUCUUUUUCUUGAGGAAGAAGAAAGUUUUGGAUAUUAAUGAAAAAUGAUGGGUUUUAUUUAUUUUUUUCUUUUUUUAAUUUAAAUUUUCGACGUGUAAUUUGAAGAUUUGCCUACAUAAUUUAGCAUUUUUCUUGUUCACCAAAAAAAUAGUAAAAUAAUUAUUGGAUGUUUUGUAUUUAUUAGGAAAGUAUUUGAUAAUUCACCAAUUAUUAAA